This 79-nucleotide transfer RNA is filed under the name Podarcis lilfordi (Lilford's wall lizard). RNAcentral's name for it is "tRNA.Thr". Lineage: Eukaryota; Metazoa; Chordata; Lepidosauria; Squamata; Lacertidae. The record is from RNAcentral.
GCCAGUGUGGUGUAGUGGUUAAGAGCAGCAGUCUCGUAAUCUGUGGAACCGGGUUCGAGUCUCCGCUCCUCCACAUGCA